AACCACCUGUUCCCAUUCCGAACACAGAAGUGAAAUGUUGUUGCGCCGAUGGUAGUGUAGCAUUCGCUAUGUGAGAGUAGGUCAUUGCCAGGA
This 93-nucleotide ribosomal RNA is filed under the name Lachnospiraceae bacterium. RNAcentral also lists the same sequence under 1 other name. The record is from RNAcentral. Lineage: Bacteria; Bacillati; Bacillota; Clostridia; Lachnospirales; Lachnospiraceae.